CGCAUCUGUGCAUGCAGCAUAUCAAUAAGCGGAGGAAAAGAAACUAACUAGGAUUCCCUUAGUAACGGCGAGUGAAGCGGGAAGAGCUCAAAUUUGAAAUCUUCAAGGUUUUACCUUGACGAAUUGUAGUUUAAAGAAGUGUUUUCUGCUGAAGUUUUGGUAAAAGUUCUUUGGAAUAGGACAUCAUAGAGGGUGAGAAUCCCGUAUUUGACCAUUAUUUUCAGCUUUGUGAUACACUUUCAAAGAGUCGGAUUGUUUGGGAAUGCAGUCCAAAAUGGGUGGUAAAUUUCAUCUAAAGCUAAAUAUUGGCGAGAGACCGAUAGCGAACAAGUACCGUGAGGGAAAGAUGAAAAGAACUUUGAAAAGAGAGUUAAACAGUACGUGAAAUUGUCAAAAGGGAAGCGUUUGACACCAGUGUUGUUUUCUCGAAAAUCAAUUAAAAAUGGCUCGAUUUUGUAUUGUUGAGACCUUAAAAGCUCACUGUACAUUUUUCGUGUCUUUUUUAAUGCACUUUUCGUUUAACAAGUCAACAUCAGUUUCUUUUGUUGUAAAAGGGUCAUUGGAAGGUGGCUUUCUUUUCGGAGAAAGUGUUAUAGCCUUUGGCCUCUGCAAUCGGAGAGACUGAGGUCUGCAGCGUAGACUCUUCGGGGUUAGAUACAUUUGUGCUAAGUUAUAGCUUUUUAUAGACAACUUGUUGACUAUAAUUAGUCUUGUAGCUUACUCGCUUAUGCUAUUUUACCUACGCUUAGGAUGUUGAAGAUAUGCGCGACACG
RNAcentral lists this ribosomal RNA (773 nucleotides) under uncultured Neocallimastigales. Its description in RNAcentral is "partial large subunit ribosomal RNA". It matches the Rfam family "Eukaryotic large subunit ribosomal RNA", at positions 26 to 644 of the family's 3401-position model. Lineage: Eukaryota; Fungi; Neocallimastigomycota; Neocallimastigomycetes; Neocallimastigales. The record is from RNAcentral.